UUGGUUUAAAUUAUUGUGGGUCUACACUUUGAAAAUAUAACUCAUACAAAGUGGUGAGACAUAAAUUAAUUUCAUCCAA
This 79-nucleotide microRNA precursor is filed under the name Medicago truncatula (barrel medic). RNAcentral's name for it is "MIR5269 microRNA precursor family". It matches the Rfam family "MIR5269 microRNA precursor family". Lineage: Eukaryota; Viridiplantae; Streptophyta; Magnoliopsida; Fabales; Fabaceae. The record is from Rfam by way of RNAcentral.